CGGGUGUAGUUCAAUGGUAGAACACCAGCCUUCCAAGCUGGAUACGUGGGUUCGAUUCC
This 59-nucleotide transfer RNA is filed under the name uncultured Frisingicoccus sp. It matches the Rfam family "tRNA", at positions 2 to 60 of the family's 71-position model. Rfam says of the family: Transfer RNA (tRNA) molecules are approximately 80 nucleotides in length. Their secondary structure includes four short double-helical elements and three loops (D, anti-codon, and T loops). Further hydrogen bonds mediate the characteristic L-shaped molecular structure. tRNAs have two regions of fundamental functional importance: the anti-codon, which is responsible for specific mRNA codon recognition, and the 3' end, to which the tRNAs corresponding amino acid is attached (by aminoacyl-tRNA synthetases). tRNAs cope with the degeneracy of the genetic code in two manners: having more than one tRNA (with a specific anti-codon) for a particular amino acid; and 'wobble' base-pairing, i.e. permitting non-standard base-pairing at the 3rd anti-codon position. Lineage: Bacteria; Bacillati; Bacillota; Clostridia; Lachnospirales; Lachnospiraceae. The record is from RNAcentral.